CAGUCGCCGCGGUAAUACGGAGGGAGCUAGCGUUGUUCGGAAUUACUGGGCGUAAAGCGCGCGUAGGCGGUUACUCAAGUCAGAGGUGAAAGCCCGGGGCUCAACCCCGGAACUGCCUCUGAAACUAGGUGACUAGAAUCUUGGAGAGGUCAGUGGAAUUCCGAGUGUAGAGGUGAAAUUCGUAGAUAUUCGGAAGAACACCAGUGGCGAAGGCGACUGACUGGACAAGUAUUGACGCUGAGGUGCGAAAGCGUGGGGAGCAAACAGGAUUAGAGACCCCUGUAGUCCCUGUCUCUUAUAC
This 301-nucleotide ribosomal RNA is filed under the name uncultured bacterium. RNAcentral's name for it is "partial 16S ribosomal RNA". It matches the Rfam family "Bacterial small subunit ribosomal RNA", at positions 509 to 807 of the family's 1533-position model. The record is from RNAcentral.